Molecule: long non-coding RNA, 305 nt
Filed under: Nicotiana benthamiana
Lineage: Eukaryota; Viridiplantae; Streptophyta; Magnoliopsida; Solanales; Solanaceae
Description: long non-coding RNA (NBEN_LNC020073)
Source: RNAcentral
UUUUUUGAGGAACUGAGCAAGAAAAGGGGCCAUGAGAACUACAUUUUGGUCUGAUACCAAAACCAUUUCCAUCAUUACCAUAACCAAACUUGAAGCUGUAGUUACGGAUUAACUUGACGCUGCAGUAGUUACGGAUCUGGCUAGGUUAUGUAGGCGCUCGUCCCCUCUCUGGGAUAUCAAUUUGAAUGGCGGGCUCGACUUUAUUUAUGGCAAAAAGAAAAAAAUUAAUGAAUUUUACAAUCGUUUGAAAGUAAGAAAAAGAAGGAAUUUCUGCUUUGUAAGAGGGAUUGAGGGAUCCAGUCACA